GGGUUGUGAGGUUAAGCGACUAAGCGUACACGGUGGAUGCCCUGGCAGUCAGAGGCGAUGAAGGACGUGCUAAUCUGCGAUAAGCGUCGGUAAGGUGAUAUGAACCGUUAUAACCGGCGAUUUCCGAAUGGGGAAACCCAGUGUGAUUCGUCACACUAUCAUUAACUGAAUCCAUAGGU
This 179-nucleotide ribosomal RNA is filed under the name Escherichia coli. RNAcentral describes it as "partial 23S ribosomal RNA". It matches the Rfam family "Bacterial large subunit ribosomal RNA", at positions 1 to 171 of the family's 2925-position model. Lineage: Bacteria; Pseudomonadati; Pseudomonadota; Gammaproteobacteria; Enterobacterales; Enterobacteriaceae. RNAcentral also lists the same sequence under 1 other name. The record is from RNAcentral.